This 1100-nucleotide long non-coding RNA is filed under the name Gossypium barbadense (sea-island cotton). RNAcentral's name for it is "long non-coding RNA (GBAR_LNC019829)". The record is from RNAcentral. Lineage: Eukaryota; Viridiplantae; Streptophyta; Magnoliopsida; Malvales; Malvaceae.
AAAGACUCAAACCCUAAAGCUUUCCUCUUUUUUUUUCCUUCUUCCAUCACACAGGCAUCGCCGAGAUCUUACCAUUGAGAAAACUGGUUUCCACCAUGCCUUCUACAUAAACACCAUUUCCUAUACGAAUUUUUGGUCACCGCAACUUAUUCAUUUUGGACUUAGUCCUAACACCUCCUAUUUUCUCCUUUACUAAAAAUUACCUCCCCUAUCCUUUUUUCUAUUGUGGGUUCAACUUUUGGUGGUAUCUCUUCUACCUAUUAAAUCAGUGAACCGCACUCUUGACCCCAGAACUAGAUGAUAUAGUUCAAAGAUGUAUGCCUUAAUGAACCUCGCAACAUCACACAUUCUAUCCUACAUUCCUUUAUGGUAGAUUUUAUUCCUAUUAAGCCAUAUUGCCCAAAAUGAUAUAGCUAUGUUUGCACAUUGUGAUAUAUCAUUGAUGUUAAAAAGGUGAACUAACCAUUGUAUCCACUCCUAAUUUUCAUUUGUGGGCAAGGUUAACAUUCCUACCUUCUGUAGCACAUCUCUUGUGAAGUUGCAAUCUCGAAAUAAGUGGGUUGUCGUUUCAUCUUCUUCUCCACAGACUGGACAGAGGGCAGUGGUCCUUAAUUUUAGAUUACAUAUCCUAGGCAAAUAGUUCUUUGUAAUUCUCCACAGGUUGAUUCUGAUCUUGCUGGAGACAUUAAGGCUUCAAAUUUUUGUAUAAUAAUUUUCCAUAGCAUUCAUUUGUGUUAUGUAUUCAUCCCCCAGCAAGAGUUGUUCUUCCGUAAGCCUCCAUCUGUAACCGCUUCUAGCUGUGUAAAUUCUGGACUUAUUGCCUCGCCAAGCUAGUACGUUUGGUUGAGAGGAAUUUACUAGUGGGAUGGAUACAAUUUGCUCGACCUGUUCUUCACUAAACAACCUGUUUAAGGUAUUCAUCUAUAAGAUUCGGUACCACUGUGUAUCUUCAAUUUAUAUUUUGACCCUUUAUUUUUCUUUCUCCAAGGUAUGCAAUCUACGAGUCAUUCCAUAUAUUAACUGUUUUACCAUCCCCGAUCCACCACCAAAUACCUUUUUCCAGAAUGUCUCAAGCGCCUCAAAUGCUUCGCGAGCUAAAG